AUUGAACGCUGGCGGCAUGCUUUACACAUGCAAGUCGAACGGUAACAGGCCUUCGGGUGCUGACGAGUGGCGAGCGGGUGAGUAAUGCAUCGGAACGUGCCCAGGGGUGGGGGAGAACGCAGCGAAAGCUGUGCUAAUACCGCAUGUGAUCUGAGGAUGAAAGCGGGGGACCAGGCAGCAAUGUUUGGCCUCGCGCCUUUGGAGCGGGCGAUGUCAGAUUAGGUAGUUGGUGGGGUAAAGGCCUACCAAGCCGACGAUAUGUAGCUGGUCUGAGAGGACGACCAGCCACACUGGGACUGAGACACGGCCCAGACUCCUACGGGAGGCAGCAGUGGGGAAUUUUGGACAAUGGGCGCAAGCCUGAUCCAGCAAUGCCGCGUGCGGGAAGAAGGCCUUCGGGUUGUAAACCGCUUUUGUACGGAACGAAAAGGCUCUGGCUAAUACCUGGGGCUGAUGACGGUACCGUAAGAAUAAGCACCGGCUAACUACGUG
Molecule: ribosomal RNA, 492 nt
Filed under: uncultured bacterium
Lineage: Bacteria
Description: partial 16S ribosomal RNA
Rfam family: Bacterial small subunit ribosomal RNA
Source: RNAcentral